AUUGAACGCUGGCGGCAGGCCUAACACAUGCAAGUCGAACGGUAACAGGGAUCAGCUUGCUGAUUCGCUGACGAGUGGCGGACGGGUGAGUAAUGUCUGGGAAACUGCCUGAUGGAGGGGGAUAGCUACUGGAAACGGUAGCUAAUACCGCAUAACGUCGCAAGACCAAAGAGGGGGACCUUCGGGCCUCUUGCCAUCGGAUGUGCCCAGAUGGGAUUAGCUAGUAGGUGGGGUAACGGCUCACCUAGGCGACGAUCCCUAGCUGGUCUGAGAGGAUGACCAGCCACACUGGAACUGAGACACGGUCCAGACUCCUACGGGAGGCAGCAGUGGGGAAUAUUGCACAAUGGGCGCAAGCCUGAUGCAGCCAUGCCGCGUGUAUGAAGAAGGCCUUCGGGUUGUAAAGUACUUUCAGCGGGGAGGAAGGGAGUAAAGUUAAUACCUUUGCUCAUUGACGUUACCCGCAGAAGAAGCACCGGCUAACUCCGU
This 489-nucleotide ribosomal RNA is filed under the name uncultured bacterium. RNAcentral describes it as "partial 16S ribosomal RNA". It matches the Rfam family "Bacterial small subunit ribosomal RNA", at positions 30 to 506 of the family's 1533-position model. The record is from RNAcentral.